RNAcentral lists this ribosomal RNA (305 nucleotides) under uncultured bacterium. RNAcentral's name for it is "bacterial SSU rRNA". It matches the Rfam family "Bacterial small subunit ribosomal RNA", at positions 338 to 636 of the family's 1533-position model. The record is from RNAcentral.
CCUACGGGAGGCAGCAGUGGGGAAUCUUCCGCAAUGGGCGAAAGCCUGACGGAGCAACGCCGCGUGAUCGAAUGAAGGCCUUCGGGUUGUAAAGAUCUGUUGACAGGGACGAAUAAGCCAUGCGAAUAGUUUGGUGUAUGACGGUACCUGUUUAGAAAGCUCCGGCUAACUACGUGCCAGCAGCCGCGGUAAUACGUAGGGAGCCAGCGUUGUCCGGAAUUACUGGGCGUAAAGGGCGCGUAGGUGGGUGCUUAAGUCAGGUGUGAAAGUCCAUCGCUUAAAGGUGGAUCCGCGCCGGGUACGGG